This 490-nucleotide ribosomal RNA is filed under the name uncultured bacterium. RNAcentral describes it as "partial 16S ribosomal RNA". It matches the Rfam family "Bacterial small subunit ribosomal RNA", at positions 30 to 507 of the family's 1533-position model. The record is from RNAcentral.
AUUGAACGCUGGCGGCAGGCCUAACACAUGCAAGUCGAACGGUAACAGGAAGCAGCUUGCUGCUUUGCUGACGAGUGGCGGACGGGUGAGUAAUGUCUGGGAAACUGCCUGAUGGAGGGGGAUAACUACUGGAAACGGUAGCUAAUACCGCAUAACGUCGCAAGACCAAAGAGGGGGACCUUCGGGCCUCUUGCCAUCGGAUGUGCCCAGAUGGGAUUAGCUAGUAGGUGGGGUAACGGCUCACCUAGGCGACGAUCCCUAGCUGGUCUGAGAGGAUGACCAGCCACACUGGAACUGAGACACGGUCCAGACUCCUACGGGAGGCAGCAGUGGGGAAUAUUGCACAAUGGGCGCAAGCCUGAUGCAGCCAUGCCGCGUGUAUGAAGAAGGCCUUCGGGUUGUAAAGUACUUUCAGCGGGGAGGAAGGGAGUAAAGUUAAUACCUGUGCUCAUUGACGUUACCCGCGGAAGAAGCACCGGCUAACUCCGUG